This 86-nucleotide non-coding RNA is filed under the name uncultured Phascolarctobacterium sp. RNAcentral describes it as "TPP riboswitch (THI element)". It matches the Rfam family "TPP riboswitch aptamer (THI element)", at positions 6 to 93 of the family's 105-position model. Rfam says of the family: Vitamin B(1) in its active form thiamin pyrophosphate (TPP) is an essential coenzyme that is synthesised by coupling of pyrimidine and thiazole moieties in bacteria. The previously detected thiamin-regulatory element, thi box was extended, resulting in a new, highly conserved RNA secondary structure, the THI element, which is widely distributed in eubacteria and also occurs in some archaea. The record is from RNAcentral. Lineage: Bacteria; Bacillati; Bacillota; Negativicutes; Acidaminococcales; Acidaminococcaceae.
UCCACUGGGGGCGCAUAUGCUGAGAGGCCGCAAGGCCGACCCUUAGAACCUGAUUUCCGGAUAAUACCGGCGUAGGGAAGUGGCGU